GAGCAUUCCUUCCUGACUGGCGGCCAGAAGCCUGACAGAGAUAUUUUUGCUGACAUUCUUGGGUGUCAGAAGUGGGAUCUGAAGUGACGUUCCCCCCACCACCCUGAGGACCUUUUCCUGCACUGUCCAGAACCAAUGCAUCAGCACCUGCAAGAGCCCCUCAAGCUCUUUUAGUGCUCAGUUGCUCCUUUAUGGUGUUGAGAGACCUGCAGAUGCACCAUUUGCUCCUGCGAGCUACGCCGUAUUCAGGAGAGCCUUAUUUUGCCUGUUAAACAGUUAGGUCCCUCUGUCUGCAA
Molecule: long non-coding RNA, 296 nt
Filed under: Equus asinus (donkey)
Lineage: Eukaryota; Metazoa; Chordata; Mammalia; Perissodactyla; Equidae
Description: lncRNA (ENSEASG00005037806.1)
Source: RNAcentral